GCUCAAAUUUGAAAUCCUGCGGGAAUUGUAAUUUGAAGGUUUCGUGGUCUGAGUCGGCCGCGCCCAAGUCCAUUGGAACAUGGCGCCUGGGAGGGUGAGAGCCCCGUAUGGCGCACGCCGACUCUUUGCACCGCGGCUCCGACGAGUCGAGUUGUUUGGGAAUGCAGCUCUAAGUGGGUGGUAAAUUCCAUCUAAAGCUAAAUAUUGGCGAGAGACCGAUAGCGAACAAGUACAGUGAUGGAAAGAUGAAAAGCACUUUGAAAAGAGAGUGAAACAGCACGUGAAAUUGUUGAAAGGGAAGGGCUUGCAAGCAGACACGGUUUUACCGGGCCAGCGUCGAAAAGGGGGGAGGAACAAGAACUCGAGAAUGUGGCGCGCACCUUCGGGCGCGCGUGUUAUAGCUCGUGUUGACGCCUCCAUCCCUUUUCGAGGCCUGCGAUUCUAGGACGCUGGCGUAAUGGUUGCAAGCCGCCCGUCUUGA
This 481-nucleotide ribosomal RNA is filed under the name Clavispora lusitaniae. RNAcentral's name for it is "eukaryotic LSU rRNA". It matches the Rfam family "Eukaryotic large subunit ribosomal RNA", at positions 107 to 657 of the family's 3401-position model. The record is from RNAcentral. Lineage: Eukaryota; Fungi; Ascomycota; Pichiomycetes; Serinales; Metschnikowiaceae.